RNAcentral lists this transfer RNA (78 nucleotides) under Glycyrrhiza glabra. RNAcentral describes it as "tRNA-Ser". Lineage: Eukaryota; Viridiplantae; Streptophyta; Magnoliopsida; Fabales; Fabaceae. The record is from RNAcentral.
UGGAAGAAGAGCAAGGUGGCUUAAGGCAUUGGUUUGCUAAAUCGAAAUGGAGAUGGGGUUCAAAUCCCCGUCUUUGAA